UUUCAAAGUCAAUUAAUUCAACCGCUUCAGACAUUAAUUGGAAUCGUGAAUUGAAAAUUGUUAAAGCCAGUUUCCCUAAAUUUCAAAAACACACUCCCGUAAGAAACGAACGAGUGUGUGUGUGUGUGUAUGUAUCACGCGCACAGCAGAGAGAUGAGGAAGAAAAACCUAACCCGAACGAAGCGAAGCUUUGAAUGAAGAGCAGGUAGCGAUCGAGAAAAUAGGAGCACUCUGGACAGAACUACGAAUUUGGGAAAUUAGAAGGUAGAAAACCAAAUUAAAUAGAGGAUUGUUUACGAGCACAAGACACGAACCAAGUACCAAACAAAAGCAGGUUUCAUUUUACAAUUGUGUAUUUUACUAUCUCCAAUCGUCAAUUCUUGAAUUAAUUGAAAAAAUCAAAUAAAGGUUUCAAAGUCAAUUAAUUCAACCGCUUCAGACAUUAAUUGGAAUCGUGAAUUGAAAAUUGUUAAAGCCAGUUUCCCUAAAUUUCAAAAACACACUCCCGUAAGAAACGAACGUGUGUGUGUGUAUAUGUAUCACGCGCACACCAGAGAGAUGAGGAAGAAAAACCUAACCCGAACGAAGCGAAGCGAACCGAAGCUAUGAAUGAAGAGCGGAGCACUCUGGACAGAACUACGAAUUUGGAAAAUUAGAAGGGGAAGCAAAUAGAAUUCCAAUCAUGCUACGCCCGGCUCAAAACCGGACUCAAAUUC
Molecule: long non-coding RNA, 716 nt
Filed under: Olea europaea (common olive)
Lineage: Eukaryota; Viridiplantae; Streptophyta; Magnoliopsida; Lamiales; Oleaceae
Description: long non-coding RNA (OEUR_LNC007578)
Source: RNAcentral